Molecule: long non-coding RNA, 151 nt
Organism: Oxyura jamaicensis (ruddy duck)
Lineage: Eukaryota; Metazoa; Chordata; Aves; Anseriformes; Anatidae
Exons: 3
Source: RefSeq, a predicted model, not a curated record
GCUGGCAGUGCUGUGCCUGUGGUACCCCAGGGUACAUUCGGCCCUCUUGGCUGCCAGGCACACUGCUGGCUCAUGUUCAACUUGCUGUCAAACAGAACCCCAGAUCCCCUUCUAUAGGGCUGCUCUCCAGCGUCUCAUCGCCCAGUCUGUA